Molecule: long non-coding RNA, 1648 nt
Filed under: Homo sapiens (human)
Lineage: Eukaryota; Metazoa; Chordata; Mammalia; Primates; Hominidae
Description: HSALNT0383288
Source: RNAcentral
UAAAGCUCUUCUCCAUCUUGCUAAGCCUCCAUUUGUCCGCAAUACCUCAUCUCCCUGGACGCAGGACAAGAACUCAGGACCCGCCUGGAGGUGCCCACAGCAGAAUCCACAUGCCGUCCAUCUGGUCCAGCCUCACGCAGAGCCACAACUGUGCUGGCGCCUGGAGCUGCCAGCCCCACUGCAGCAGCCGGACUGACAUUCAGACGUGGAGCAAGUUGGACUGCAUAGGGACCCACCAGUGAGAUGGACGCUGUCUGUAAACGGGGAAAUUUAUGGAAAGAUGUCCUCCUGCAACUGCUGAAAAUGCAACAUGCUGCCCAGGUCCUGCUCAGACCACUGACAACUCAGAAGUUAAUACUCAGAGUGGAAAGGUGAGUAAAGGCUGUUUAAUGACCACCCCAUGAAAAGAGUCAGAAUUACAUCCCUCUUGAUUCCUGUUUCUUUCUGAACAACAUAAAUGUAAUGUAAGCCAAGCUAAUACAUGCUGUUUUGUGGUAUAUAAUGGGUUUUCUGUAGCCAGAUGUGGCGCUGAUUAUUAUUUUUUUUCUGCAAACCUGUGUUACUUUCAGCGUAGCAAAGUGUAGUACAUGAGCAAGCGUUUCAAGCCAGACGGAGUUAAUCAUCUCUGUCACUGAAUUGGAGCUCACGGUCUGCUGGACAACUGUGCUGAGUGGAAAGGAAGCCUCGAUGGCUAAGUCACUUGUCCAACCUCAGACACUGGCAGAUCCAGGAUUCAAACAGCUAGACUCCAAAUGUGUUUCCUUUAACCUCUUUUCUACCUUUUCAACUUGAUUCCACACAUCACCACUGGGAAAGCUUAGGUGAGUAAGUCAUGUGGGCUUUGGUUUUUUCAUCUGCACGAUGGAUAGACUGAGACCUUCUUCCCUCAUGCCUCUGAGGAUGACAUAAAAAACCCACAAAAUCCCUAGUCCACUUACUUGCUCACAGAUAUUUACUGAGUGAGCAUCUGAUUUCCAUCCCAUUGUCACCUUCUCCCUAGCUGUCCAGACACCCUGCUUGCCUGGCCAAUGCCACCAAAGAAUGGAACCUGCUUUUGUUCCACACUCCGUAGCCAGAAAAAAGAGACAGUUGUUCUGGCAUGUUAUUGUUUGAUUUUAUUUUACCUCAGGGAUUAAAAAAAAUGACUAUCAAUUAUAGCAACAUCAGGUAGAGGGUUUGGUAUACAUUUCCGAUGAGCUUAGAUUUCUCUCAAAUUCUCAUACUUUUAAGAUUUAUUUUUAAAUGUGAGCAUUGAAACUUAACCAAUCCUUUAGACUCUUACUCAACAAGGGAUUCUAAAGAACAUUUCUCAGUAGGAAUUAAUCAUUUAUUUUGAAACUACAUAUCUAAUUUGUCUACUAUGGGAAGGAUAUGGAAAGAGAAAACCCAAUUCUUUUUAUUUUUUGGAACAGCUGGGUCCCCAAACCACCAGCAGCUGCUUCACAAAUUGCCUAGCCAUUAAGUAAUUAUUUCCUCAUCAUAAGAGCAGCUGGAAGAGCUAGUCUCUCUCCCUCCCCAGUGCAACUCCCACUUCCUUCUGCCUCCUCCACCCUGUCCUGAAAUGGGCAGGCCAAGAGGUAUACGGUAUUGGUUUUCUUUACGUAAUUGAAGACUGGAAUUGAGCACUCUGAUAGCUGAUUAUUUUUCA